CCUCAUCCAGCAACUGGUAGAACACCCACAACUAAUCACUGAACUGAAAUGGAAUCCAGAUGCAGAGAAGGACGAGGAAAAGCAAAGGGGUCCAGACCAGUUUUGCAUGAAGCAGCCUGGAAGUUUGCAGCUCAUCCUCACCCAGACACCCUGGUGAACCAACUAGAAACCUGACAGUUCUCCUAGGCUGUGCAAGAAAGGUGAGCACACACAGGAGGAAAUGCAUAGAGAGACUGGAGUUCAGGAUGAAGUCAGCAGGUCACAGGCACCCUGGGACCUUGUCACACUUGCCUGACCCUGACCCCGCCGGCACAAGAGGGUCUGGUUCUGCGGUUCCUUUACUCGCAGCAAUUGAGUCUGGUUCCCAAGAAGACGCCCCACGCAGGACGAGGAGAGCGAGCGGGUUGGAAGGAAUCCACGGCCGGAGGCUCUUGGCCUCAUCUGUCUCCCGCUAUUCAAUAGGGACCUCAGGGACCUCUCCCCAGACACCUGGGGCAAGCCCAGACCCCAGGACCAGGCACCCAGGG
Molecule: long non-coding RNA, 527 nt
Filed under: Cricetulus griseus (Chinese hamster)
Lineage: Eukaryota; Metazoa; Chordata; Mammalia; Rodentia; Cricetidae
Description: lncRNA (ENSCGRG00015040838.1)
Source: RNAcentral